UACGUAGGGUGCGAGCGUUAAUCGGAAUUACUGGGCGUAAAGCGUGCGUAGUCGGUUAUCUAAGUCAGGUGUGAAAUCCCCGGGCUCAACCUGGGAAUUGCAUUUGAUACUGGAUAGCUUGAGUUCGGGAGAGGGAAGCGGAAUUCCGGGUGUAGCGGUGAAAUGCGUAGAUAUCCGGAGGAACACCGGUGGCGAAGGCGGCUUCCUGGACCGACACUGACGCUGAGGCGCGAAAGCUAGGGGAGCAAACGGG
This 253-nucleotide ribosomal RNA is filed under the name uncultured prokaryote. RNAcentral's name for it is "partial 16S ribosomal RNA". It matches the Rfam family "Bacterial small subunit ribosomal RNA", at positions 524 to 776 of the family's 1533-position model. The record is from RNAcentral.